Molecule: unclassified non-coding RNA, 23 nt
Filed under: Mus musculus (house mouse)
Lineage: Eukaryota; Metazoa; Chordata; Mammalia; Rodentia; Muridae
Description: oocyte_clustered_small_RNA12933
Source: RNAcentral
CGUAUAAACCCCACAACUGAUUC